UACGAAGGGUGCAAGCGUUACUCGGAAUUACUGGGCGUAAAGCGUGCGUAGGUGGUUUGUUAAGUCUGAUGUGAAAUCCCCGGGCUCAACCUGGGAAUGGCAUUGGAUACUGGCAGGCUAGAGUGCGGUAGAGGGUGGUGGAAUUCCCGGUGUAGCAGUGAAAUGCGUAGAGAUCGGGAGGAACAUCUGUGGCGAAGGCGGCCACCUGGACCAGCACUGACACUGAGGCACGAAAGCGUGGGGAGCGAACCGG
Molecule: ribosomal RNA, 253 nt
Filed under: uncultured bacterium
Lineage: Bacteria
Description: partial 16S ribosomal RNA
Rfam family: Bacterial small subunit ribosomal RNA
Source: RNAcentral